This 546-nucleotide ribosomal RNA is filed under the name uncultured streptomycete. RNAcentral describes it as "bacterial SSU rRNA". It matches the Rfam family "Bacterial small subunit ribosomal RNA", at positions 669 to 1208 of the family's 1533-position model. Lineage: Bacteria; Bacillati; Actinomycetota; Actinomycetes; Kitasatosporales. The record is from RNAcentral.
CCUGGUGUAGCGGUGAAAUGCGCAGAUAUCAGGAGGAACACCGGUGGCGAAGGCGGAUCUCUGGGCCGAUACUGACGCUGAGGAGCGAAAGCGUGGGGAGCGAACAGGAUUAGAUACCCUGGUAGUCCACGCCGUAAACGGUGGGCACUAGGUGUGGGCGACAUUCCACGUCGUCCGUGCCGCAGCUAACGCAUUAAGUGCCCCGCCUGGGGAGUACGGCCGCAAGGCUAAAACUCAAAGGAGUUGACGGGGGCCCGCACAAGCGGCGGAGCNUGUGGCUUAAUUCGACGCAACGCGAAGAACCUUACCAAGGCUUGACAUACACCGGAAACGGCCAGAGAUGGUCGCCCCCUUGUGGUCGGUGUACAGGUGGUGCAUGGCUGUCGUCAGCUCGUGUCGUGAGAUGUUGGGUUAAGUCCCGCAACGAGCGCAACCCUUGUCCCGUGUUGCCAGCAGGCCCUUGUGGUGCUGGGGACUCACGGGAGACCGCCGGGGUCAACUCGGAGGAAGGUGGGGACGACGUCAAGUCAUCAUGCCCCUUAUGUC